This 859-nucleotide ribosomal RNA is filed under the name Ramularia hieracii-umbellati. RNAcentral describes it as "eukaryotic LSU rRNA". It matches the Rfam family "Eukaryotic large subunit ribosomal RNA", at positions 36 to 926 of the family's 3401-position model. Lineage: Eukaryota; Fungi; Ascomycota; Dothideomycetes; Mycosphaerellales; Mycosphaerellaceae. The record is from RNAcentral.
AAGCAUAUCAAUAAGCGGAGGAAAAGAAACCAACAGGGAUUGCCCUAGUAACGGCGAGUGAAGCGGCAACAGCUCAAAUUUGAAAUCUGGCGCAAGCCCGAGUUGUAAUUUGUAGAGGAUGCUUCUAGGUAGCGACCGGUCUAAGUUUCUUGGAACAGGACGUCAUAGAGGGUGAGAAUCCCGUAUGUGACCGGCCCGCACCUUCUACGUAGCUCCUUCGACGAGUCGAGUUGUUUGGGAAUGCAGCUCUAAAUGGGAGGUAAAUUUCUUCUAAAGCUAAAUACCGGCCAGAGACCGAUAGCGCACAAGUAGAGUGAUCGAAAGAUGAAAAGCACUUUGGAAAGAGAGUUAAAAAGCACGUGAAAUUGUUGAAAGGGAAGCGCUUACAACCAGACUUCUGGGCGGUGUUCCGCCGGUCUUCUGACCGGUCUACUCGCCGUCCCGAGGCCAACAUCAUCUGGGACCGCUGGAUAAGACCUUAGGAAUGUAGCUUCCCUCGGGAAGUGUUAUAGCCUCUGGUGAUGCAGCGCGUCUCGGGUGAGGUCCGCGCUUCGGCAAGGAUGUUGGCGUAAUGGUUGUCAGCGGCCCGUCUUGAAACACGGACCAAGGAGUCUAACAUCUAUGCGAGUGUUCGGGUGUCAAACCCCUACGCGUAAUGAAAGUGAACGGAGGUGGGAAGGGUAACCUGCACCAUCGACCGAUCCUGAUGUCCUCGGAUGGAUUUGAGUAAGAGCAUAGCUGUUGGGACCCGAAAGAUGGUGAACUAUGCCUGAAUAGGGUGAAGCCAGAGGAAACUCUGGUGGAGGCUCGCAGCGGUUCUGACGUGCAAAUCGAUCGUCAAAUUUGGGUAUAGGGGCGA